AAUUCUCAACCUUUUCAGCUUUCUUUGUUGAUCAGGCUUGGAUGUGGGAGUAUGCGGGCUUCUCAGAAGUCGGCUCUCCUGAAAUGCAUUAGCGGGACCUUUGUUGCCUGGCUUUGGUGUGAUAAUUAUCUACGCCAUUGUAGUCAAGCAGCUUAAAAUGAGGUUUCAGCUUCUAACCGUCUCCCCUGAGACAACUUUUUGACA
RNAcentral lists this unclassified non-coding RNA (204 nucleotides) under Tricholoma argyraceum. Its description in RNAcentral is "partial internal transcribed spacer 2". The record is from RNAcentral. RNAcentral also lists the same sequence under 1 other name. Lineage: Eukaryota; Fungi; Basidiomycota; Agaricomycetes; Agaricales; Tricholomataceae.